UUUCCGUAGGUGAACCUGCGGAAGGAUCAUUAACGAGUUAGGGUCUUUUAGGCCCGACCUCCCAACCCUAUGUUUAUUGAACCUCUGUCGCUUCGGCGGACCCGUCUCACGGCCGCCGGAGGACCGCUGCGAGGCGUCCUCUGGCCAGCGUCCGCCGAUGGCCAACCCACUAAACUCUGAAUGAAUCGUGUCAUAUGUCUAAGUCUAUGAUUAAAUUAAAGCAAAACUUUCAACAACGGAUCUCUUGGUUCUG
This 253-nucleotide unclassified non-coding RNA is filed under the name plant metagenome. Its description in RNAcentral is "partial contains small subunit ribosomal RNA, internal transcribed spacer 1, and 5.8S ribosomal RNA". The record is from RNAcentral.